This is a non-coding RNA of Triticum aestivum (bread wheat), 125 nucleotides long. Lineage: Eukaryota; Viridiplantae; Streptophyta; Magnoliopsida; Poales; Poaceae. The record is from Rfam.
AUAGUACUCCCUCCGUCCGGAAAUACUUGUCCGAGGAAUGAAUGUAUAUAGAUGUAUUUUAAUAUUAGAUACAUUCAUUUAUGUCCAUUUCUUCGAUAUGUAUUUCCGGACUGAGAGAGUAAAUA